RNAcentral lists this long non-coding RNA (630 nucleotides) under Vigna radiata. RNAcentral describes it as "long non-coding RNA (VRAD_LNC017497)". The record is from RNAcentral. Lineage: Eukaryota; Viridiplantae; Streptophyta; Magnoliopsida; Fabales; Fabaceae.
CUAGGAGUGUAUUGNUAUGCUUGCUUCUNCCAACGANNCAAAACCUAGAGCCCCAGGGUCCUUUAAAUAAUGCCAAACGCGUCCCAAAGUGCGGCCCAGUCCAAAAAAUCAAAUCAGAGCAGAAUCAGGGCCCGAUCCACAUCAAAUCUCCCUCAAGCGUCGCAAGGAGCUCGCCCAGGUGUGAAUUGAGGGUUUUGUAAGGCUUGAGCGCCAGUUUUGGACGCCUAAGCUACGAGCGUUUGUCGCCCGGGCGUCGUGUCCGUCGCCCAAGCGACCAGCGUCGAUUUCUAGCUCAAUGAUUUUCUCUCCUGUCGCUUGGGCUUCGGGUUUUCUCCCUCCUUGGUGCCUUUUUGUCCCCUUUUGAGAUCCUUCGUCGUGGCUUUUCACUUCUUCUUCCAGAAUUACUUCAAUCUCUGCAAAACAAGGGGAAUUUGUUAGAAAACAGUUAAAAUCAACCUCAACUCUCUUAUUCACACAAUUUACUGAAAAUAUAUUAGUUCAAGCAAGUUUAUAAGUGAAAAAGGGUGCUUUUAGUAUCAAAAUCAUAUGGUAAAUAACGGUGCUUCAAACCGUUAUCAGAACCCCAAACUUUGAACUUUGCUUGUCCUCAAGCAAACAACUGCAACUCAG